GAAAUGCGAUAAGUAAUGUGAAUUGCAGAAUUCAGUGAAUCAUCGAAUCUUUGAACGCACAUUGCGCCCGCCAGUAUUCUGGCGGGCAUGCCUGUCCGAGCGUCAUUUCAACCAUCAAGCCCCCGGGCUUGUGUUGGGGACCUGCGGCUGCCCGCAGCCCCUGAAAACCAGUGGCGGGCUCGCGGUCACACCGAGCGUAGUAGCAAUCACCUCGCUCAGGGCGUGCUGCGGGUUCCGGCCGUUAAACAGCCUUACAAAACCCAAGGUUGACCUCGGAUCAGGUAGGAAGACCCGCUGAACUUAAGC
RNAcentral lists this unclassified non-coding RNA (306 nucleotides) under plant metagenome. Its description in RNAcentral is "partial contains 5.8S ribosomal RNA, internal transcribed spacer 2, and large subunit ribosomal RNA". The stretch from base 1 to 105 matches the Rfam family "5.8S ribosomal RNA", at positions 50 to 154 of the family's 154-position model. The record is from RNAcentral.